This 253-nucleotide ribosomal RNA is filed under the name uncultured bacterium. Its description in RNAcentral is "partial 16S ribosomal RNA". It matches the Rfam family "Bacterial small subunit ribosomal RNA", at positions 524 to 776 of the family's 1533-position model. The record is from RNAcentral.
UACAGAGGUCUCAAGCGUUGUUCGGAUUCAUUGGGCGUAAAGGGUGCGUAGGUGGCAGGGUAAGUCGGGUGUGAAAUCCCGGGGCUCAACCCCGGAACUGCACUCGAUACUGCCUUGCUCGAGUACUGGAGAGGAGACUGGAAUUUACGGUGUAGCAGUGAAAUGCGUAGAUAUCGUAAGGAAGACCAGUGACGAAGGCGAGUCUCUGGACAGUUACUGACACUGAGGCACGAAGGCCAGGGGAGCAAACGGG